RNAcentral lists this long non-coding RNA (874 nucleotides) under Olea europaea subsp. europaea. Lineage: Eukaryota; Viridiplantae; Streptophyta; Magnoliopsida; Lamiales; Oleaceae. The record is from RNAcentral.
UGCCAAAUGAGAAAAUUCCCUUUUCCAUCAAAAAUAUCAAGUUCAAAAGUGCUUUUGUCAUGUUUUAUUGUUGAAAAAUUAACGCACAGUAUUUCCAAAAAGUUAAAACAAGACAGAUGAUAUACUUUUGAAAAUCUGUUGAAUUUGACCAUCGCAAAAAAUGAUGUUUUAGAUCACAUAAAAAUAAAAUGCAAUCUGAUGAAUAAGUCACAAUUAUUCCUCGUUACAAAAAAAUUCAGCAAUGUCAGGAUCAAUUAUUAUAUCAAUGUAAACACUACAAGAACCAAGGAAUUAAUACAAAAUAGGCAGAAUCAAUAUCUCAGGUGCAGAAAUAAAAGUCUGCAGUAGCACAAGAGUAAUCAAAUUCACCAGGAUUCCAUGAGAAUCAAGUUCUCAAGUCAAUGCUCAAUUUGAAUCACCCAAAUUAAACUAUCACAGGCAAAUAUAACUAGAUAUCACUCACUGAUGUAACAAGUUACAAUGCACAGCAGUUAAAACAUAUCAAGAGAGAGGCAUCAACAGGUAUAUUUAGUGUUAGGCGUGUGUGUGUAAUCGUGUAGGGAUCAAGAAUUGCAAACCGAAGGGUGGUUAAUUGAUUAACCACCAACACAGAUCAAGAAUCGAUUAUCGCAACCAAGAGAGAGCGUUUUCCAAUUUACCAAAUCACAGGUCGAGUCCUUACAGUUUCAAGAUUUAGGUGCUUUUCCAGAUCGAGGCUAGAAGUCACAAAACUACCUCGUUUUCCACAGUCCAGGUUCAGAAUAGCUCAACAAACCACUAGAUCGACGCAGAUCUAGACCCAGGGUUUCGCGAUCUGACGUCGAACGCCUGAAAAUUGAUUUUCUAGUGUUUGAACUCCGAUCGAAGACUUAAG